GCCUAACACAUGCAAGUCGAGCGGGAAGCUUUUUAAGGAUUCUUCGGAUGAAUUAAAAAGUGGAGAGCGGCGGACGGGUGAGUAACGCGUGAGAAACCUGCCCUAUACAGGGGGAUAGCCAUUGGAAACGAUGAUUAAUACCCCAUAUGACCACAGUAUCGCAUGAUACAGCGGUGAAAACUCCGGUGGUAUAGGAUGGUCUCGCGUCUGAUUAGCUAGUUGGUGGGGUAACGGCCUACCAAGGCGACGAUCAGUAGCCGGCCUGAGAGGGUGACCGGCCACACUGGAACUGAGACACGGUCCAGACUCCUACGGGAGGCAGCAGUGGGGAAUAUUGCACAAUGGGCGAAAGCCUGAUGCAGCGACGCCGCGUGAACGAUGAAGGCUUUCGAGUCGUAAAGUUCUGUUCUUGGGGAAGAUAACGACGGUACCCAAGGAGAAAGCACCGGCUAAAUACGUGCCAGCAGCCGCGGUAAUACGUAUGGUGCAAGCGUUGUCCGGAAUUACUGGGCGUAAAGAGUUCGUAGGCGGUUAGAUUAGUCAGAAGUGAAAGGCUACGGCUCA
This 564-nucleotide ribosomal RNA is filed under the name uncultured bacterium. Its description in RNAcentral is "bacterial SSU rRNA". It matches the Rfam family "Bacterial small subunit ribosomal RNA", at positions 46 to 611 of the family's 1533-position model. The record is from RNAcentral.